Molecule: long non-coding RNA, 3773 nt
Organism: Ruditapes philippinarum (Manila clam)
Lineage: Eukaryota; Metazoa; Mollusca; Bivalvia; Venerida; Veneridae
Exons: 3
Source: RefSeq, a predicted model, not a curated record
UAACUAUUGAAAAAUCAAUCAAUCUAUGCUUGGGUUUCACAAUUUCUUUUCAACGGCACAUUCAAAAAAGGACUUCCUUGUCGUGAGAAUGAAACUUUUUAAACAUGGCGAUAGAUCUAAGAAACUUUAUCGUUGGAUUUUGUUUGAUAUCUUUCAAAUUUGUUGUCAUAGUAACUACUAGUAUAUCAUGGUAUUGUACUGAGCAAUACGAGUGUUAUGGGACCUGCUAUAGAGCAGUUACAGGACAAACUUGUACUUUUUUGUCGUGGUCGAGGGUGUCUCAUAUAUGUACAGGUUAUAAUCAAAAAUAUAUUCUCACAUCAUAUCUUUGUAAAACCACUUGUCAAAGAGAGACUUGCUGCAGCGGAUUUACCGGGGAUAACUGUAGUACACGUGAGUUAAAUGACCAAUAUAUUUUUGUAUAUAAUAAUGUAAUCAUAUGACCUUCAGUCGCAGAAACAUCGUUAUGGUUUUUCCAUUGCUGUGUAAACUUGGUUAUCAGGUAAGAUGCAAAGUACAUCCAUCUCAUUCAUUGAUUGCAUAAUGAUAAUAAUUGUUUUUGCAAUACAGCCUAUUGUGUUUUCAUCAGUAUAACAACAACAUCACUGGCAUGUUUGUAUCCUAUGCAUACAUCAGUUUAUAUAUUACUUCAUAAUCAUUACAUAUAUCAUAUCAUAUAAAAUUGCAUACAUGAUUUCAUAUAUCAACUCAAACGUGAUUUCAUACAUCAUAUGAUCCAUUAUUUCAUGCAUCAUUUCACGUUUUAUUUAUCAUUAUUUCAUCCAUUAUUUGAUACACAAUUCCAUACAGCAUAUUAUAAUUUAUUACAUAUAUCAUUUCACGCAUCACUUUAUAUUUCAUUUCAUACAUCAUUUCAUACAAUUCUUUUAAUCAUUACAUGUUUCAUUUGAUACAAAAUUUAUUGCAUACAUCAACUCAUAUCUUAUUUCAUACAAUAUUUCAUAUUAUCAUUUCAUGUUUUUUAUACAUAAUUUCAUACUUCAUUUCAUUACAAAUUACAUUUCGUACAUUAUUCCAUACAGCAUUUCAUAAUCAUUUUAUACAGCAUUUCAUAAUCACACCAUUUCUAAAUAUAAAUGACGGGUAUUAGACACCAUAGUGCAAUCUUGAAAAAUUAUUGACAAAUGUGAUCAAUACAAAAUAAAAUAUAACAAUGGAAUUUCAAUUGCAUUUAUUAUAAUUGUUAGUGUCAAUUGGAAUAUACAUUUACAAGAAUGUUAAGGUAAGACAAAAGUUAAACAAUAUUCAAAGUUGAUCUGUGACUAAUUUUGUAAAGCACUCGUUUUAAAAACAGUUUUCAAACAGAUGAAAGGCCUUCCAAUGGAAAUAACUGUGUACCCCUGAUCACUGAUUUAUUUUUGUAUUGCUACAAGAGGAAUUCCUUGUUAUGUUUCUCUCCUAAUUUACAACAGGAAUUUAUACAUGCAUUCCCUUCCCCCUCAUAUCCCAUUUUGUGUCCGUCUCCUCCCCCUGAACACACACCUUUUCUUUACACCCAUUGUCCCUUAAAUGCUCGUACCAGCUAAUUUAGUCCUUCUCAUUUCAAUUAUUACAUGUGCCUCUCCUCCUGUCACUAUCCUUAUGUCCUCUCCCGUUUUUGGUUCGGUGACCUCUGAGUUUCCUAUUGGUGCGGCUUGAUUGUGUCACGUGUUGCGUCCCGUGAACGUUGCCUUGCCUCGUUGAUCUUUGUUCCUAUUUUACAUUAAAAGUUGAAGCAUUACUGAAAAAACAAAUGUUCAUAACUUUUUUAACUAAAACAUCAAGACAAUGCUAUGCUGUUUUUAUUUUUUCAUUUAUUUCAUAUUUCAAAAGCAUAUAAAUAUAAUCAUUCAUAUUUACCUACAACAUUUGUAACUUAAUAUAUAACAUAUCUAUCUUAGUCAGAUACAUAUUCUUUUACCUUACGUUCACUUUUUACAAUCAAGAAGCAGACAUCACAAACUCAAAGGCAAACAAACAAAAACUUAACAUUUUCCCAUUUGAACAAACAAUAUAAAGUAGAUACGACAGAAAUUCAACAAAGAAAAACCGUAAAAAAACUCUCAAAAUAAUAAAGAAUAAAGAAAAAACCACUAAAACAAACACGCUUACACUCGAAAAAUGCACACACACAGCAACACAAACACACAAAAAGGGGAAAAGGCGACAAGUGAAUCAGUUUUAUUUAAUUUUUUACGUUUUAUGGUUUAAUUUACAUAAUAUUGUUGUUUUUGUCAUCAUUUUUAUUUGUUAAAGUGUGAGAUAGUUUACUCCAUUUUUGUUUGUACGAUUAAACUUGAUCAUUUGACAAUGCAAUUGCUUCUUCUAUCUGUACCCUUAAUAGCAAAAAGUUUUUAAAACUAUCAAAGUCGGCUUACUUCUUUUGUAUUACAUUUUUGAAAUGUAAUAUUUCAUUAGAAUGAUGAUAUAAUUUACUACAUUACUAUUUAUAUUGAUUGUAAGCUCUCCAAAAAUCACUGUUUCAUUACUGUAUGAAAAAUGAAGGUUGACUGACAAGAGAAAAGAAUGUAAGUUUGCAAAGUAUUACAUUCCCAAAAUAGAUGAUGCAGUGUUUCUAAACAACCGCAGCAAAAAUCAAACAAAUUCGAACUGCAUAGUUUAUAUUUGAAAAGCAUAGUGUUUGUUGCAGAAACGUAUACUGAACAUUUCUUAAUGUCACAUCUAUAGUACUUUGUAGUGGUAUAGUAUAUUUCUUAUUCCAAUUCAAUUCUAUAUCUAUUUUUUCCCAUUGCUCUUCAUUUUUAUUUAUUGUUUUGGAUUUUGCAAUAUUAUUGAAUAAUAUAUAUAAAAUGUGUUGCUUUUUAGUUUCUCAGGGUAUUGUUUUGGUAUAUUGCUAUGUUGUAACCAUUAACUCAUACUUUUUUCUUCAAAUGACAAGAGUUUGUUAAACAUUGAAUAAACAUUUAAAAAAUCAAUCGUAUUGAGUAGCAAAAGGAGGAAGUUUACAUAGUGUAUCUAUAGAAUAUCUACGACAUAUGAUUGGUUAGUAAACAUUUUACGUAUACACGCAAUGCAUGUUUCAAACUAAAAUGUCGCCGAACUUAAUAGGACUAUCUUCCAUUUGUUUUCUAUUUCUAAGUUGUUUUAGAACCGGUAAGUGCAUCUUUUGUGGAAACCAAACUUUUGAUGGUUACCUGCUACCUUCCAUAAAUUGCUUUGUAUUUCCGUUUAUUUUAUAGAUAGGUAGAAGAUACAAGAAUGACAUUUUAUCUUGUCUUUCACGAAGUUUUCAGUCUCCGAUGUUUCAAAGGGUUGAACCCUCUGGUUGCUAUUAAGCACAUAUUGUCGUUCUUCAUGAAAAAAGAUAACAACCCAGCAAACUCCUUGAAACAGAGGGGUUUGAACUUUCGAAUUUUCGGCGAUGGAUAACUUUGUGAAAGAGAUAUUUAUUUUUUUAUUGUUUCCAGAGUUAUUUCUGUUUUAAUCUUAUUUUCUAUAUGUUCAUUUUUAAAUUAUUUUUAUCUAUGUUUUGUUUUUGUUAAAUCAUCUCCUAAAGGUGUUUUACAUUAAUCAAAUGUGAAUAUUUAGUACAAUGUUAAUAUUAUAUGUUCUUUUCUUCCAAAAAGUGAAGCCUUCAUAAACUAUUUAGAAAUAUUUAAUUAAUCUUUGUCAGGUUUUUGGUUAAAAUAUACCUACAAGUUCUGCGUUCCACACUUUUGAAACUGGCAGUUAUCCAAAUCAAUAAAACUGCAAUAGAAAGAAUAACAAACAAAAAAGAAAAAAAUGCGAUAAAUAUAAACCUAUUUGUAAUG